AAAACAACAAAAACAACAAAAACAAAAAAAAGAAAAGGAAAAAGGGAAAGAAAGAGAUAACGUAAGGUGUCUCUGUUAUCAGACCCAUGCCUGCUAUGCUAUCAUAGUUUUGUAUUGGGAAUAAUCUGUGGCAUGGUCAUGAUGACUAAAGGAGCAGGAAGCAACAUCUGCUCUCAACCUUAUCCCAAAUUUCGAGAUUGGAAGGUGGAAAUAAUUUCAUAAUAAAAAGGGGAGAUUCAUAUGCUGUAGGGGUUGGAAUAGAUUGCAUUACAGAGCGUAAGAACAACAGAGGGGAGCCAUUUGAUCAGGGAACUUUCGUUUGACAAUAGGGACUGUAAGAGUUUUCAUCAAGACUCCAAGAAGAUUGUGUGGUUGAAAUGAUUGUGCUGUUAAAUUAUGCAUAAGUCUCAGGUGUAUUCAUUUCAUUAGUUUCUUUCAUUGUGUUUCUGUAUUUAUGUCAUAGAGGUAGUGAUAGGAAUAGGUAAUUGCAUGUAGCAUUACCUUGGUUGAAAUUCUUAAAGAGUAUUUAAAGUGAUUGUAUAUCUAGAGUGUAGGUUUUACAUAAGUGAAUCUUGUACUCCUAACUCUUUGAUAUUUUUAGUGAAAUUUCUAGCUAGGAUGGGUAGAGACCGGAUAUAGAUUCAUUUAAAUCGAACCUGUAUAAAUUUGGUUUA
This is a long non-coding RNA of Vigna unguiculata (cowpea), 674 nucleotides long. RefSeq lists it as uncharacterized. The record is from RefSeq and is a predicted model, not a curated record. NCBI's taxonomy places the organism in Eukaryota, Viridiplantae, Streptophyta, Magnoliopsida, Fabales, Fabaceae.